This 593-nucleotide long non-coding RNA is filed under the name Prunus dulcis (almond). RNAcentral describes it as "sRNA ncRNA". The record is from RNAcentral. Lineage: Eukaryota; Viridiplantae; Streptophyta; Magnoliopsida; Rosales; Rosaceae.
UGACUAGAAACCAUCCAUAAGCAACAGAUAAACAGAAGAACGAAGUUGUCAUUCAAAACAUCCACAAAGAUAAACCAACAUAAGCAUGAGCCUAAUUCACAAGAUCAAGGAGUACCAAAUUCAUCAGAAGAGUAGCAUUAUCUCUCAAGCUACAAACCCAAGAUCCAAAAGAAUAAGAAUGAAUACCUUGAGCUGCAAUUAAUACAUAGAAGGGAUGUGGUGAACUAUUGGUUCAUAUAACCUCAUGUAUGUCUCUGGUUUAUAACACUCAUGUACAUAUUCAACAGGAUUUUCAUCUCUGUGGAAUAUAGCAAAAAUAGCAUGUGCACAUGGUACACAUAAAUCUUAUCUCCUACAACUACAAGACUUUGCACUUGAUACAUUUUCUCCCCAGCCAAUCUAGGAAUGCAUUGAGAAGCUUCCAUCUUGUUCUUCUCAAUUAUUUUGAAUAUCCAUGGGCCAACAGGGUGUUUCCAUUUACCACAAGCAGCCCUUCGAUUAGCCAUCCUAAGCAUCACAUACAUUCGAAUACUUUCCAAACAUGUCAAAAUGGAAUUAUCUCUUGCAUCAAUUAUAGCUGCAUUAAAGCUCUC